Long non-coding RNA from Esox lucius (northern pike), 1395 nucleotides. Lineage: Eukaryota; Metazoa; Chordata; Actinopteri; Esociformes; Esocidae. The record is from Ensembl.
GGUCCCUAUACAACCGAAGCAGGAGCUUGGUCCGCAUUGCCGGCAGUAAGUCAGACUUGUUCCCAGUGCAUGUUGGACUCAGGCAGGGCUGCCCUUUGUCACCGGUUCUGUUUGUAAUUUUUAUGGACAGAAUUUCUAGGCGCAGCCAGGGGCCGGAGGGUGUCAGGUUUGGGGACCACCGGGAGGAGACCCUGGGAAAGACCAAGGACACGCUGGAGGGACUAUGUCUCCCAGCUGGCCUGGGAACACCUCGGUGUCCCCCCGGAAGAGCUGGAGGAAGUGUCUGGGGAGAGGGAAGUCUGGGCAUCUCUGAUUAGACUGCUGCCCCGGGGGCCUGGGCAGGGAGCAAUGGGGACAGGAUAGGAGGGAGUUCCAGGAAGGACAGGGGCUGCCGGAACAAUGAGUCGAAAAGUUGAAGCCUGGGGGAAUAGCUGCCUCUGUGCUUCCAGUCUUGGUCGCACUGCCACUGGUGGUGUGAUAACAGUGGUGGACUGUCUCUUUGUCUUUGCCUGCCCUGCAGUGCUCCUGGGCAGGGGAUAAACUAAUGUCUCUCCCUGGUGUUGAGGUGGAGCAACUGCUGGGCGGACAUUGGCUGGGUCCAAAGACUCGGAAGCCACAGGGAGAAGACCAGGCUGGUUAAUCCCCUGCAGUAGCACCGCAAGAUCCUGCCUCUUGACCCUGCCGUUGUGCCACUGGAUGAGCGUGGUCUGGUUCACCUCCACCAGCUGCAGGGUUGUCGCCUGCAUUAUGGCCCCAUUGGCCAGAACCAGCUGCCGUAUUUUGCGGUAGUCCUAAAUGAGAGUCCAUCUUGUCAGUGUCCCCUUCCCCUUCUUUUUGGGACUCCUGUGGAUGGAACAGAGCCUGGAAAAGAUGGCCUCCACAAGACGGCAGCAGUGUGGCCACUGGGCAGGUGAAGCAGUGGAACUGAGGGCACACAGCUUCAGACUGUCCACACCUGGAAUGAACUCUGCCUUCUUUUUAGGAGACCUGAACCUCCCUGUGGCACCUGAGGUGUGACACCUGGUGGACUGGAAGCAGGCUGUGAAGUGGUGGAGGUGGCAGGCUGGGGACCAGAGGGAGCAGGCCGGGGACCAGAGGGAGCAGGCCGGGGACCAGAGGGAGCAGGACUGGAAGCAGAGGGACCAGGACAGCUGGUGGUGGAGAUGGUGGAGAUGUCAUCCCAAAGACUACCAACUGUGAAGUCCAGUGUGAAUUCCUCAAAGCCUUCAUCUUCCUCCUCCUCCUCACCGUCCACGGCCAGGUCCUCCAGCAGCUGGUCAGUCUCCUCUCUGUCGGGGUCCACACUCCGCAAAGGCUGCCCUGUCUGACGGAGCAGAUAGUCCAUGCCUAUCAGCUCUCCUAGAAGUAAGAGAAAUACAAUAAAAUGCAAAUUAC